AAAAAAAAAAUGGAUCUUACUUAACUCACUUGCAAAAAUUAAUUGAGAGAAAAAAACAGUGCCCAAAACAUUAUGGGUGACAUUAUUUUUAUCCCAAAUUAAUAUGCUGUAUUAACAUAUAAAUUACUUAUGUAUUGAUACAUUAUAUAAAAUAAUUAGUUAAAAUAAAUUCCAUUAAGGAAAUCUAGUGUGAUCAUGAUCAUUAAAGUUUGAGUUGCACCAGCCUUUAAUGCCUGUAGUAACGGUGUACCAAGACUCUUAAAGAAGACAUGAAAUAACUUUCUGCAAAAAGUCUAAUACAUUAGCUAACCUUCUUGAUAAACCAUGUCCACUUGCCUCACAAGGAAAUUACCUGACGAAUGUAACACGUAUAUUCGCCAAUGCUUCAUUCACUUGCUCUGACAUUUACAGGUGGCACACUUUUAUUAGUAAAGAUAUCUUAUAUAAAUCGUGUAUGAGGAACAUUACUCAUUUAUUAUUUUUCUUAUUCAUUUCUUAUAUUUAUCUCCCUUCUCUCUCUCUCUUUAUGCUUUCUCAUCUUUCUAAUUUGAGCAUCAGAGGAGGGUCUUUGCUAAAGGUGUCUUUGUU
RNAcentral lists this unclassified non-coding RNA (588 nucleotides) under Hevea brasiliensis (rubber tree). Lineage: Eukaryota; Viridiplantae; Streptophyta; Magnoliopsida; Malpighiales; Euphorbiaceae. The record is from RNAcentral.